This 253-nucleotide ribosomal RNA is filed under the name uncultured bacterium. RNAcentral's name for it is "partial 16S ribosomal RNA". It matches the Rfam family "Bacterial small subunit ribosomal RNA", at positions 524 to 776 of the family's 1533-position model. The record is from RNAcentral.
UACAGAGGUCCCAAGCGUUGUUCGGAUUCACUGGGCGUAAAGGGUGCGUAGGUGGUCAGGCAAGUCAGGUGUGAAAUCUCCGGGCUCAACCCGGAAAUGGCAUUCGAAACUACCUUGCUAGAGGGUUUGAGGGGGGACUGGAAUACUUGGUGUAGCAGUGAAAUGCGUAGAUAUCAAGUGGAACACCAGUGGCGAAGGCGAGUCCCUGGAAAACUCCUGACACUGAGGCACGAAAGCUAGGGGAGCAAACAGG